RNAcentral lists this ribosomal RNA (320 nucleotides) under uncultured Rhodococcus sp. Its description in RNAcentral is "bacterial SSU rRNA". It matches the Rfam family "Bacterial small subunit ribosomal RNA", at positions 28 to 352 of the family's 1533-position model. The record is from RNAcentral. Lineage: Bacteria; Bacillati; Actinomycetota; Actinomycetes; Mycobacteriales; Nocardiaceae.
GACGAACGCUGGCGGCGUGCUUAACACAUGCAAGUCGAGCGGUAAGGCCUUUCGGGGUACACGAGCGGCGAACGGGUGAGUAACACGUGGGUGAUCUGCCCUGCACUUCGGGAUAAGCCUGGGAAACUGGGUCUAAUACCGGAUAUGACCUCCUAUCGCAUGGUGGGUGGUGGAAAGAUUUAUCGGUGCAGGAUGGGCCCGCGGCCUAUCAGCUUGUUGGUGGGGUAAUGGCCUACCAAGGCGACGACGGGUAGCCGACCUGAGAGGGUGACCGGCCACACUGGGACUGAGACACGGCCCAGACUCCUACGGGAGGCAGC